Molecule: ribosomal RNA, 428 nt
Filed under: uncultured bacterium
Lineage: Bacteria
Description: bacterial SSU rRNA
Rfam family: Bacterial small subunit ribosomal RNA
Source: RNAcentral
UGGGGAAUUGUUCGCAAUGGGCGCAAGCCUGACGACGCAACGCCGCGUGGAGGAUGAAGGUCUUCGGAUUGUAAACUCCUGUUGAUCGGGACGAAAAGCUCCAACCUAAUACGUUGGAGACUGACGGUACCGGUUGAGGAAGCCACGGCUAACUCUGUGCCAGCAGCCGCGGUAAUACAGAGGUGGCAAGCGUUGUUCGGAAUUACUGGGCGUAAAGGGCGCGUAGGCGGCCUUCUAAGUCGGACGUGAAAGCCCCAGGCUUAACCUGGGAACUGCGUCUGAUACUGGGAGGCUUGGAUUCGGGAGAGGGAUGUGGAAUUCCAGGUGUAGCGGUGAAAUGCGUAGAUAUCUGGAGGAACACCGGUGGCGAAGGCGGCAUCCUGGACCGAGAUCGACGCUGAGGCGCGAAAGCUAGGGGAGCAAACGGG